This 413-nucleotide ribosomal RNA is filed under the name bacterium enrichment culture clone ALO1_GLFRUDD03F2V9D. Its description in RNAcentral is "bacterial SSU rRNA". It matches the Rfam family "Bacterial small subunit ribosomal RNA", at positions 9 to 423 of the family's 1533-position model. The record is from RNAcentral.
GAGUUUGAUCUUGGCUCAGAUUUGAACGCUGGCGGCAUGCCUUACACAUGCAAGUCGAACGGCAGCACGGGAGCUUGCUCCUGGUGGCGAGUGGCGAACGGGUGAGUAAUGCAUCGGAACGUAUCCUGGAGUGGGGGAUAACGUAGCGAAAGUUACGCUAAUACCGCAUAUUCUGUGAGCAGGAAAGCGGGGGACCUUCGGGCCUCGCGCUCUUGGAGCGGCCGAUGUCGGAUUAGCUAGUUGGUGAGGUAAAGGCUCACCAAGGCGACGAUCCGUAGCAGGUCUGAGAGGAUGAUCUGCCACACUGGAACUGAGACACGGUCCAGACUCCUACGGGAGGCAGCAGUGGGGAAUUUUGGACAAUGGGGGCAACCCUGAUCCAGCCAUGCCGCGUGAGUGAAGAAGGCCUCGGU